This 600-nucleotide ribosomal RNA is filed under the name uncultured haloarchaeon. RNAcentral describes it as "bacterial SSU rRNA". It matches the Rfam family "Archaeal small subunit ribosomal RNA", at positions 1 to 604 of the family's 1478-position model. The record is from RNAcentral. Lineage: Archaea; Methanobacteriati; Methanobacteriota; Halobacteria; Halobacteriales; Halobacteriaceae.
UCCGGUUGAUCCUGCCGGAGGCCAUUGCUAUCGGAGUCCGAUUUAGCCAUGCUAGUUGUGCGGGUUUAGACCCGCAGCGGAAAGCUCAGUAACACGUGGCCAAGCUACCCUGUGGACGGGAAUACUCUCGGGAAACUGAGGCUAAUCCCCGAUAACGCUUUGCUCCUGGAAGGGGCAAAGCCGGAAACGCUCCGGCGCCACAGGAUGCGGCUGCGGUCGAUUAGGUAAACGGUGGGGUAACGGCCCACCGUGCCCAUAAUCGGUACGGGUUGUGAGAGCAAGAGCCCGGAGACGGAAUCUGAGACAAGAUUCCGGGCCCUACGGGGCGCAGCAGGCGCGAAACCUUUACACUGUACGAAAGUGCGAUAAGGGGACUCCGAGUGUGAAGGCAUAGAGCCUUCACUUUUGUACACCGUAAGGUGGUGCACGAAUAAAGACUGGGCAAGACCGGUGCCAGCCGCCGCGGUAAUACCGGCAGUCCGAGUGAUGGCCGAUCUUAUUGGGCCUAAAGCGUCCGUAGCUGGCUGAACAAGUCCGUUGGGAAAUCUGUUCGCUUAACGGGCAGGCGUCCAGCGGAAACUGUUCAGCUUGGGACCGGAA